This is a long non-coding RNA of Sander lucioperca (pikeperch), 249 nucleotides long. RefSeq lists it as uncharacterized. Lineage: Eukaryota; Metazoa; Chordata; Actinopteri; Perciformes; Percidae. The record is from RefSeq and is a predicted model, not a curated record. The transcript is spliced from 3 exons.
GACCCACAACAGUCACGCUUCACUAAGACCAAGACUAUUCCAGUUAUGCCUGUCACUGUGGACUCAUCAAGACAGCUGAGGAGGCGAUUACCUGCACCACCAGUGAAAGAAGACAAAGAGGAAACCUAAAUCAUCGAUCCAGGACCUUUGCAGUACCUCCAACACAGCAGUGCCUUGACCCUCUCACUCUGCAGCCUACAGGCCGCUCUUAAGUUCCAUUGCCUUAAUUUCAUUUUUAGACUAAACAUG